RNAcentral lists this transfer RNA (76 nucleotides) under Ralstonia solanacearum. RNAcentral describes it as "tRNA-Lys". It matches the Rfam family "tRNA". Rfam says of the family: Transfer RNA (tRNA) molecules are approximately 80 nucleotides in length. Their secondary structure includes four short double-helical elements and three loops (D, anti-codon, and T loops). The record is from RNAcentral. Lineage: Bacteria; Pseudomonadati; Pseudomonadota; Betaproteobacteria; Burkholderiales; Burkholderiaceae. RNAcentral also lists the same sequence under 1 other name.
GGGGCGUUAGCUCAGUUGGUAGAGCAGCGGGCUCUUAAUCCGUAGGUCGAGUGUUCGAGUCACUCACGCCCCACCA